UACGUAGGGUGCGAGCGUUGUCCGGAAUUAUUGGGCGUAAAGAGCUUGUAGGCGGUUUGUCGCGUCUGCUGUGAAAAUCCGGGGCUCAACCCCGGACUUGCAGUGGGUACGGGCAGACUAGAGUGUGGUAGGGGAGACUGGAAUUCCUGGUGUAGCGGUGAAAUGCGCAGAUAUCAGGAGGAACACCGAUGGCGAAGGCAGGUCUCUGGGCCACUACUGACGCUGAGAAGCG
Molecule: ribosomal RNA, 232 nt
Filed under: uncultured bacterium
Lineage: Bacteria
Description: partial 16S ribosomal RNA
Rfam family: Bacterial small subunit ribosomal RNA
Source: RNAcentral